GCACGGUGCUCGAUCCCCAAUGGAAGGAAAUGGAGGCAGACCCAUCUUGCAGGUCAUCACCAGGAAGGAGAUGAGACUCAUGUCCUGGAGACGAAUACCCCACUGGAGGUGGCGUGAAGGGGAGAUGGCUGCUUUCUCCUGGGAAGGGAGCAGAUGCCUGGCCCAGGACCAAAUCAAAAGCUGAGGCUCACUGCCCCCAGUGGGCAGUGGGUCCAGGGGGUUUCUGAGGACAGGGCAUGACCCAGCCCUGCUGCCCCCAAGAUGGCACCUGGCUUGGAGGGGUGAGGGGCCCUGUUAGUCUGACUUUGAAGAAGACCAGCCUUCCAGACUCGCUUGGUGCCCUGACAGCAGCUUGUGUUUCUUCCUUCAAGAGUCUGCUUAGAGAUAAUAAAGAUCAACACUAUUCCUUAUAACAACACCUCAGUAUCCUGCGAGCUGUACACACCAGAGUUUAUUUAACCACCUUGCUGCUGGCAUGAAAGCCUCAGGAGCCCUGGGCUCCCCCAGUGUUGCCUGGGUCUGACUUUGCCUCAGUGAAAACUGCCUCGAAUUCUUUCUUGCACCGAUGGGCAGAUGGGCAGUGUCGGAGGAUCGUGUCAUCUGUCCCGUGGCGCUGGUUGGCUUGGUCAAGUCAGUGUUCAAACUAUCUCCUGCUCUUUCAAGGGGAUCUGGGGCUCUAGAAGAUUAGAGGACUUGGAGAGGUUAGUGACUUGCUCGAGGUCGGCUAGGAAGCAAGACCCAGGAUUCCAACUCAGGUCUGUGUGAUUCCUCUGCAAAAUGGAGAGGUGGAAGGAUGGAUGUCAGGUCUGAUGGAUGGAUGGAUGCCUACAUCAAGAUACAUGCAUAGAUGGAGAGAUGGCUGGCUACCUCAUGAAUGCUGGACUGUUGUGAGAAUCAAACGAGAUAAUGUAUGCUGAGGCAUGCUGUGAACACUACGUGCUGGGUACAGGAGAAUGGAGGCUCCAGAGUGAAAUUAAUGACACUUUGUCGAUGAAGAUCUUGAUUGUGACCUCUGUGGAAAAUGAGCCAUGAACCAACCAAUGAUAAGUCUACUUUUCUUCCACGUAACAACCACAGGAUAGAUGACAUUCAUUUUCUAAGAAACAAAAUCUUGGCAGUUAGAUCCGUGGGGUAAAGAAUAUAGAUACUAAUAAUGAAAACCAUGUAGCUGGUCUUAUUAUUCUCUAAUCAUGAAGACCAUUAUUGUUAUUUGUGGACUAAGGAGCAGAAAGACUGAUAGUGGACAUAGGCCAGCUGAUUUAAUAAUUUAAGAAAGAACUGUUAUCCUGAGUAAGGAGCAUAGAGACAAAUAUAAAAUGAACGCACUCUACCUGAUUUAAUUAUAGUCUUCUGGUGAAGAUCUUGCUGUUAUCUCUGUGAAUCAGGAGAGAAGAGAUUGAUAAGGAAUAGACGAGAUUGGAUUUGGUCAUUUCCCCAAGGUGAAGAGCAUGGCGAUUUCUUCUGUGGUAAGGAGCAAUAAUGAAGACCAUGGUUGAUUUAAUCAGUCUCUGCUGAUGAAGAUCUUGGCUGUUACCUUUGUGUGUAAGGAAGCUAAAGACUUAAGUAAAUAACAGUCCAAAAACUUGUCAAUUAGGAAUGAAUGCGCAAUGAUUCAAUUAUUCUCCAGCGAGGAAGAUCAUGGUUGUUGUCUGUUUGAGUAAUGAGUGUAGAAACCUAUAAUGGAGGCGUGAUGGCUGAUGCAAUCAUUUUCCACUGAUGAAGGUUUUGAUGGCCACCUGUAAUGAACAGCCCCAUCUGAUUUAAUCACUGUGCAAUGACCGUGAACUGUACAGUUACCUCCGUGUGUCACAGGAAGACUCUUUUGACUUAAGCACCCUUCCAUGGUCAUGAGGUUUCUGGUUGCCUCUGUGUGUUAGAAGCUUGGAGACCAAUGCCUUCUGCUGUGAUCGCGUUCUCCACAGUUGCCUCUGGGUAGGAGCCUGGACACUAAUAGAAAAUGGAUGCACUUGAGCCGACCUAAGCAUUCAUGGUCAUGAGAUUUGUGGUUGCCACUGUUGGUUAGGAGCAUAGAGAUCAGUAAUGGACACACCUGGGCUGGCAGAACAUCUUGCCUUGAUCUGGAGCCCCAUGUCUGCCCCUCUGUAGAGGUGCACAUGGGCCAAUGAUGGAUGCAAUGAGCUGAUCAUUUUGCUGUGAUCAAGGCUAUGUUGCCUCUGUGUUAGGCCAAUGGUUGAUGUUCAUGGGUGAUUGAUCAUCCUGUAGCGACGGUGGUAUUGACUGUUCCCCAGAGGACAAGGAGUGUGUUCUUAUCUACUCAGGAGGCUGAGGCAGGAGAAACGCUUGAACCCGAGAGGCGGAGGUUGCAGUGAGCUGAGAUUGCGCCAUUGCACUCCAGCCUGGGCAACAAGAGUGAAACUCCAUCUCAAAAGAAAAAAAAAAGAAAACAAAACAAAAAAAGAAAAAACCAAUGUUCCAAUAGUUUCCCAAAUCAUGCUGAUGCUGCCUCCUGAGAAAUAUUUUCAGAAUCACUGAGAAAAAUGUAUGAAAUAGUUAAUGUCCUUGCUCUGUGUCAGUGGUGGAGGCUGUCUGCAGUAGGAGCAUGGAGACCAACAAUGGAUGCUCUUAAACUGAUUUAAGCACGCUUCCAUGGUCAGAAGCCUUAUGGUUGCCACAGGGUAUUAGGAGCAUGGAGACCAAUAAUGGAUGUCCUUGUUCUGAUUUGAGGAUGCCUCCAAGGUCACAUACUCUGUUUGCACCACGCUUAGGAAGGAGCGUGAAGACCAAGGGGAGGAAGAUGAUAAACACAGAUCAUGGAGGACUGUUUUAUCUGUUUGUGAUCUGCCGUCCUCUGUGAGCCUCAGGAUGGAUGUUUGCCAGCCGAUUCCAUGGUUACAAGCUCUAUAGCUGCAUCUAUGUGUUAGGAGCAUGAAGACCAAUAAUGGAUGCACUGAGCUGAUUAUGAAUUUAGCCCUGAUGAAGACUUGUGUUGCUGUCAUGAUAUGAAAGAUUCCAGUAAUGAACGCACUUGAGUUGAUUCAAGCACGCUUCCAUGGUCAUGAGCUCUGUGGUUGCAUCUGUGUGUUAGGAGCAUGCAGACCAAUAGUGAUAAUCUCGAGGUGAUUUAUGCAUUCUUCCAUGGCCACCAGCCUUAUGAUUGCAUCUGUGCGUCACAGCUUAGAGAUCAAUAAUGGAUGCAACAAGCUCUUUGAAUCAUUCUGUUGGGAUCAAGAUUGUUGUGUUCCCUCUGUUUGGAAAGAGACCAAGAAUGGAUACGCUCAGGUGAUUUAAGCAGUCUUCCAUGGCCACGAGCUCUGUGGUUGCCUCUGUAUAUUAAGAGCACAGAGAUUAAAAAUGGCCCCAUUCCAGCUGAUAUAAGCACUCUUCCAUGGCAUGUGCACUAUGGUUGGUUCUCUGUGUUAGGAGCACACAAACCAUUGCGAGUAUGCAUUCAUUUCCUCUCUUUACAAGAAUGGGUGCACUUGAGCCGAUUGAAACAUUCCUCCUUGCAUCUUUCUUCUGUGAUUGCAUCUAUUUGUUAGUAGCAUAGAGACCAAUAAUAGAUGGCUUGUGCUGAUGGAAGGAUUCCUCCCUGGUGACAUGCUGUGUCUGCCUCUUGAUUGGGAGCACGCAGACCUACAAUGAUGCACUUUUUAUGAUUUGAGAAUUCCUUCAUGGUCACGUGCUCUGUUUUUAUCAUGGUUGGGAGCCUGCAGAGCAAUAAGGGACAUGCCUUUGCUGAUUUGAGGAUUCCUCUGAGGUUGGGAGCUAAGUUUGCAUCAUGCUUAGAAAGGAGUGUGCAGACCUGUAAUGAUUGCACUUUGCUGAUUGAAGGAUUCCUUCAAGUCCAUGUGCUCCACUUGCACCAUUUUUAGGAUGGAGCCUGGAGACCUAUAAUGAACAACUUGUGCUGUGUUAAGGAUUCCUCCAUGAUCACGCGCCCCAUUUGUACACCAUGCUUGGGAAGGUGCAUGCAGACCAAUAAUGGACGUACUUGUGAUGAUUUAAAGAUGCCUCCAAGGUCACGUGCUCUGUUUGCACCAUGCUUAGGAAGGAGCGUACAGACCAAAAAUGGAUGAAUUGUGCACCUUGAAAAGUUCUUCCAUGGUCACCUGAGGCAUCUGCGUCAUGAUUAGGCUCCGGAUGACUAAUAAUGGACGUACUUGUUCUGAUUUGAGGACUUCUUCAUGGUCACAUGUUCUGUUUGCACCAUGCUUAGGAAGGAGCAUGUGUACCAAUAAUGGAAGCACAGAAGCUGGUUUUAAUAGUUAAGAGCUGUAUGGUCCAUCUCUGUGCUAGAAGCUGGAGACCAAUAACAGUCACUCCCUGCACUGAUUCUGCCAUGACCACUUGCUCUAUGGUUGUUUUAAGGAACCUACAGACAAAUAAUGGAUUAUCAUUGGUGAAGAUCUUAGCUGUUCCAUAGAAGGAACACACUUAUCACUACAGUGAUUCUGUAAUGAUGAAGACCUUUAUGGGAUGGGUAGACCAGAGCUGAUUAAAUUAUUCUCCCAUUGAUGAGGAACUUUACCUUAUCCCUCAGAGUAAGGAGAAUGUCAUAUAAUGAUGAAGAUCUUGACUGUUACCCAUGUGGCAAGGAGAGUGUAGAACAGG
This 4572-nucleotide long non-coding RNA is filed under the name Homo sapiens (human). RNAcentral's name for it is "maternally expressed 8, small nucleolar RNA host gene (MEG8)". The stretch from base 490 to 611 matches the Rfam family "Maternally expressed 8 exon 2". Lineage: Eukaryota; Metazoa; Chordata; Mammalia; Primates; Hominidae. The record is from RNAcentral.